GACGAACGCUGGCGGCGUGCUUAACACAUGCAAGUCGAACGGAAAGGCCCUGCUUUUGUGGGGUGCUCGAGUGGCGAACGGGUGAGUAACACGUGAGUAACCUGCCCUUGACUUUGGGAUAACUUCAGGAAACUGGGGCUAAUACCGGGUAGGAGCUCCUGCUGCAUGGUGGGGGUUGGAAAGUUUCGGCGGUUGGGGAUGGACUCGCGGCUUAUCAGCUUGUUGGUGGGGUAGUGGCUUACCAAGGCUUUGACGGGUAGCCGGCCUGAGAGGGUGACCGGCCACAUUGGGACUGAGAUACGGCCCAGACUCCUACGGGAGGCAGCAGUGGGGAAUAUUGCACAAUGGGCGGAAGCCUGAUGCAGCAACGCCGCGUGCGGGAUGACGGCCUUCGGGUUGUAAACCGCUUUCGCCUGUGACGAAGCGUGAGUGACGGUAAUGGGUAAAGAAGCACCGGCUAACUACG
Molecule: ribosomal RNA, 466 nt
Filed under: uncultured bacterium
Lineage: Bacteria
Description: partial 16S ribosomal RNA
Rfam family: Bacterial small subunit ribosomal RNA
Source: RNAcentral